UCUGGGUAUGGUGGUGCAUACCUGUAAUUCCUGGUACAGGGAAUGUUUUUGAGACUGGUGAAUCACUUGAACUUGGGAGUUUUGAGCUAUAGUAGGUAUCUCUACUAAGUCUGGCAUCAAUAUGAUGAGCCCCUGAGAGUAGGGGGCCAGCAGGCUGCCUAAAGAGCAGUUAACUGGCCCAGGUUGGAAAUGAGAAAGGUUGAAGUUUCCAUACUAAUAAACAGUGGGAUCAGGCCCAUGAGUGUCUAUUGUACUUCUAAUAGGAAUGAGAUAGGGAGAUUCAGUCUCCA
Molecule: signal recognition particle RNA, 290 nt
Filed under: Vombatus ursinus (common wombat)
Lineage: Eukaryota; Metazoa; Chordata; Mammalia; Diprotodontia; Vombatidae
Description: Metazoan signal recognition particle RNA (ENSVURG00010018154.1)
Rfam family: Metazoan signal recognition particle RNA
About the family: The signal recognition particle (SRP) is a universally conserved ribonucleoprotein.
Source: Rfam by way of RNAcentral